CAGCAGCUGAGUGCUCAGACUUGGCAGCAGGAAUGCUGCCAGCAACAUCAGGUCCAGAUUCCCAGAUGAAUCACGGACCAAAAACUAAAAGGCGACUCUGCAAGCCGUGUGCAGGUCGGCCAGCUACGAUAUAGAACAGAACAGUUCCAASUUUCUUCUUUGACUUUGACUCUGUCCCAUUGAAAGCACAGGAUGGGUGACAGAUCCUCUGAGCUGGACCUGCAGCAUCAGCCAGAUGCCACAAAAUGGGCACCAAAAGGCGAGACCAUCUCAAA
This is a long non-coding RNA of Nothoprocta perdicaria, 275 nucleotides long. RefSeq lists it as uncharacterized. The record is from RefSeq and is a predicted model, not a curated record. NCBI's taxonomy places the organism in Eukaryota, Metazoa, Chordata, Aves, Tinamiformes, Tinamidae. The transcript has 3 exons.